UUAAGCGACUAAGCGUACACGGUGGAUGCCCUGGCAGUCAGAGGCGAUGAAGGACGUGCUAAUCUGCGAAAAGCGUCGGUAAGGUGAUAUGAACCGUUAUAACCGGCGAUGUCCGAAUGGGGAAACCCAGUGCAAUUCGUUGCACUAUCGUUAACUGAAUACAUAGGUUAACGAGGCGAACCGGGGGAACUGAAACAUCUAAGUACCCCGAGGAAAAGAAAUCAACCGAGAUUCCCCCAGUAGCGGCGAGCGAACGGGGAGCAGCCCAGAGUCUGAAUCAGCUUGUGUGUUAGUGGAACGGUCUGGAAAGUCCGACGGUACAGGGUGAUAGUCCCGUACACCAAAAUGCACAGGCUGUGAACUCGAAGAGUAGGGCGGGACACGUGGUAUCCUGUCUGAAUAUGGGGGGACCAUCCUCCAAGGCUAAAUACUCCUGACUGACCGAUAGUGAACCAGUACCGUGAGGGAAAGGCGAAAAGAACCCCGGCGAGGGGAGUGAAAAAGAACCUGAAACCGUGUACGUACAAGCAGUGGGAGCACCUUCGGGUGUGACUGCGUACCUUUUGUAUAAUGGGUCAGCGACUUAUAUUCUGUAGCAAGGUUAACCGUAUAGGGAGCCGCAGGGAAACCGAGUCUUAACUGGGCGUUAAGUUGCAGGGUAUAGACCCGAAACCCGGUGAUCUAGCCAUGGGCAGGUUGAAGGUUGGGUAACACUAACUGGAGGACCGAACCGACUAAUGUUGAAAAAUUAGCGGAUGACUUGUGGCUGGGGGUGAAAGGCCAAUCAAACCGGGAGAUAGCUGGUUCUCCCCGAAAGCUAUUUAGGUAGCGCCUCGUGAAUUCAUCUUCGGGGGUAGAGCACUGUUUCGGCUAGGGGGUCAUCCCGACUUACCAACCCGAUGCAAACUACGAAUACCGAAGAAUGUUAUCACGGGAGACACACGGCGGGUGCUAACGUCCGUCGUGAAGAGGGAAACAACCCAGACCGCCAGCUAAGGUCCCAAAGUCAUGGUUAAGUGGGAAACGAUGUGGGAAGGCACAGACAGCCAGGAUGUUGGCUUAGAAGCAGCCAUCAUUUAAAGAAAGCGUAAUAGCUCACUGGUCGAGUCGGCCUGCGCGGAAGAUGUAACGGGGCUAAACCAUGCACCGAAGCUGCGGCAGCGACACUAUGUGUUGUUGGGUAGGGGAGCGUUCUGUAAGCCUGCGAAGGUGACCUGUGAGGGUUGCUGGAGGUAUCAGAAGUGCGAAUGCUGACAUAAGUAACGAUAAAGCGGGUGAAAAGCCCGCUCGCCGGAAGACCAAGGGUUCCUGUCCAACGUUAAUCGGGGCAGGGUGAGUCGACCCCUAAGGCGAGGCCGAAAGGCGUAGUCGAUGGGAAACAGGUUAAUAUUCCUGUACUUGGUGUUACUGCGAAGGGGGGACGGAGAAGGCUAUGUUAGCCGGGCGACGGUUGUCCCGGUUUAAGCAUGUAGGCUGGUUAUCCAGGCAAAUCCGGAUAAUCAAGGCUGAGGUGUGAUGACGAGGCACUACGGUGCUGAAGUAACAAAUGCCCUGCUUCCAGGAAAAGCCUCUAAGCAUCAGGUAACAUCAAAUCGUACCCCAAACCGACACAGGUGGUCAGGUAGAGAAUACCAAGGCGCUUGAGAGAACUCGGGUGAAGGAACUAGGCAAAAUGGUGCCGUAACUUCGGGAGAAGGCACGCUGGUGUGUAGGUGAAGCCCCUGCGGGUGGAGCUGAGACCAGUCGAAGAUACCAGCUGGCUGCAACUGUUUAUUAAAAACACAGCACUGUGCAAACACGAAAGUGGACGUAUACGGUGUGACGCCUGCCCGGUGCCGGAAGGUUAAUUGAUGGGGUUAUCCGUAAGGAGAAGCUCUUGAUCGAAGCCCCCGGUAAACGGCGGCCGUAACUAUAACGGUCCUAAGGUAGCGAAAUUCCUUGUCGGGUAAGUUCCGACCUGCACGAAUGGCGUAAUGAUGGCCAGGCUGUCUCCACCCGAGACUCAGUGAAAUUGAACUCGCUGUGAAGAUGCAGUGUACCCGCGGCAAGACGGAAAGACCCCGUGAACCUUUACUAUAGCUUGACACUGAACAUUGAGCCUUGAUGUGUAGGAUAGGUGGGAGGCUUUGAAGCGUGGACGCCAGUCUGCGUGGAGCCAACCUUGAAAUACCACCCUUUAAUGUUUGAUGUUCUAACGUUGGCCCCUGACCGGGGUUGCGGACAGUGUCUGGUGGGUAGUUUGACUGGGGCGGUCUCCUCCCAAAGCGUAACGGAGGAGCACGAAGGUUAGCUAAUCCUGGUCGGACAUCAGGAGGUUAGUGCAAUGGCAUAAGCUAGCUUGACUGCGAGCGUGACGGCGCGAGCAGGUGCGAAAGCAGGUCAUAGUGAUCCGGUGGUUCUGAAUGGAAGGGCCAUCGCUCAACGGAUAAAAGGUACUCCGGGGAUAACAGGCUGAUACCGCCCAAGAGUUCAUAUCGACGGCGGUGUUUGGCACCUCGAUGUCGGCUCAUCACAUCCUGGGGCUGAAGUAGGUCCCAAGGGUAUGGCUGUUCGCCAUUUAAAGUGGUACGCGAGCUGGGUUUAGAACGUCGUGAGACAGUUCGGUCCCUAUCUGCCGUGGGCGCUGGAGAAUUGAGGGGGGCUGCUCCUAGUACGAGAGGACCGGAGUGGACGCAUCACUGGUGUUCGGGUUGUCAUGCCAAUGGCACUGCCCGGUAGCUAAAUGCGGAAGAGAUAAGUGCUGAAAGCAUCUAAGCACGAAACUUGCCCCGAGAUGAGUUCUCCCUGAGACUUUAAGUCUCCUGAAGGAACGUUGAAGACGAUGACGUUGAUAGGCCGGGUGUGUAAGCGCAGCGAUGCGUUGAGCUAACCGGUACUAAUGAACCGUGAGGCUUAACCUU
Molecule: ribosomal RNA, 2900 nt
Filed under: Klebsiella pneumoniae
Lineage: Bacteria; Pseudomonadati; Pseudomonadota; Gammaproteobacteria; Enterobacterales; Enterobacteriaceae
Description: bacterial LSU rRNA
Rfam family: Bacterial large subunit ribosomal RNA
Source: RNAcentral